GCAUCACACAUCCAUAGCGUGACGGAAAAGAGAAAACUUCGGUUUCCUUACAAAUUAGUCCCUCUCCAUCUAAUUUCAUAGUUUCCACCCAAAAUCUUUUAUUUCCAAGUGAAAUCAAGUGUCUAGCAAUAUCAAAAGUUUAGUUUUCAAGAUAGAAUUCAUGAAUUCAUGGAUGGAGGUGGGAGAAAGUUAAGAAAGUGUAAGAAGUCAAGGUGACAAGGUAAGAGAUCAAGAGUUCUCUUGUGAAUUUUGUGAUUUAUUGAAGUAGAAAUAAAAGAGUAAUUUUUUGUACUUCUAGAGUUCUACUUAUUUUCAAAGGACUAAAUUGAAUUAUGUGAUGAAAUAAGUGCGAUGUGUGUGAAUUUAAUUAAAAAUAAUAUUAGUGUAAAGGACUUCAUGAGAGUUGAUAUCUAGAAAUUAUGAGAAUUAAAGAUAGCAAGUGAUAUGUUAAGGGAUAUAAAAGAUGGAAGUAUGAAUAAGUUUAUGUGUACAUGAUAUGUAAGUUGCAGCAGUGGUCCGACUUCAAAAAUUUAUCAAAAACUGUAUAGAGUGAAUUAGAAAGAGAGUUUUAGAUGCUUAGAAAUAUUAGUGGGUCUAGCUUCUUAUGAAUCAAACGGAAUCAAAUUCCAAAUUUUGUGCUAAGAGAAAAUAGAAUUUAGUGAAGAAGAUUCAAGCUGUACUCAAGCAGCAUCCUUGAGUCGACUUUAAAAAAGAUCCGGUAUUAACUUGAUUUGGAUUAAAUUUUACAACUUUUAUGAUAAAAAUUUCAUUGAGUCUAGUUUUAUAUAAAAGAAAUGUAUAAUCAUUUAGAAUAUAAUUAAUGAGAAAAAUAAGUUUUGGUGAGACAGCUUGAGGAUGCUUUCAGGCUCUCCUGAUUCUACUUUGAAAAUUCAUUAAAAAUUGUAUAAAAAGAAUUAAUUUAUGUAAUUUAUAUAUUUAAAAAACUUAACGAGUUCAUUUUUAGGAGAAAUAAAUACAAAUAUUAUACGAAUUUUGUAUUAAAAGAUAAAUAUUUUUUAACGGAAGAAAGUUAAAGUUGUCUAGCAGUAAAACACGAGAGGAUUUUUUAUAAGAAAAAAUUAUAUUAGUAACAGGAUGUUUGGUUUCGAAUGAAACUUGAUUAUCAAUUUCAAUAAAUGAGAUAUAAAUAAAAAAGUGAUUAUUACUUAAAGACUGUUUUGUUUUGAAAGUUAAGCAUUAAGAUUUAUGAAAUAAUUGUAAAUCGAGUGAUUUGAAAACUUAAUUAAAUAUAUAUGAUUAUGAAUGAAAAUAUUAUGUGUAUUUUGCAAGUGGAUUAAGUAUAAAAUGACAAGAAUUAUUCAUGUAAUAGUGCGUGAUAUAUUCGUGUCAUGUUUGGAGGAUACUUGGAAAGUGAAGGAUAAUCGUAAAAUGAAUUUAAAAAGAACUGUGCAUAAGUGAAUGAAAUCGUGCAAUGGCCUUAAUAAACAAGAUAGAACCUGUGGGAUAAAAUUGACAUACCAUAGGAAUACUUAAACGCUCCUGUGUUAUUCGCACUCCUGUGCCCGUGUUGGGGUUUUCUAGCACUUUUGUGCUCCAAUUUAUUACGUGCAUCUUUCUCGAUUCUCCAUCAUUUACUAAGGGCUAAGUGGAGAAAAUAACAAGCGAAGAAGUGAUGAGUAAAGAAAAUGAAAAGUGAGAUAACUGGUGAGUGACAAAAUUAUUUAUAAACAUCUUACAUGUAUUAAUUAAUUGAUAUAUCUUUCCAAAAAUGAACUAAUGUAAUUUAAUGAUAUUAAUGUUAAGGUUAAAUACUUAGAUAGUGUUAUUAAAAUUUCAUGAAGUUUAACGCGUUGUUUUUAAACGUGUAGUGUGCAGGAAGUAAUCGUGUAUGAAAAGUUUGAACGGGGUAAUUCAAAUCACAUCUUAUCAAAGCAAGGUCUGCGAAUUAAGUACUUGAAUUAUGGACAUUAGAGUGACAUGUAAUUAAGAGUUCAAUUAGUAUGAAUGUGAAAGUUAAUUAGUGAAAUGUACUAAGAACAUUGUGGUCAUUAGUUAUAAAAUGAAAUUGUGACAUUUUGGAUGGCUUAUUUGGUACUUAGUGAAGUGUUUGGCUUGAAACGUAACAUUCUUUACUCGAGUUUAGGUUAAGAGGUGUUGCAUGGACCGACUGAUUUGGUAGGGAGCUUAUUGGAGUAUCGGCCCCCAAAAAAAAUGGUUAGAUUAGUCGAUUCAUGGACCACCCAAAACCGGUUGAAUUGGGCUUAAAAGUUGGUUGAAUCAAUAGUUGAAUCGUUUUUUUAAUAAUUUAUUUAAUAAGUCGUACAAAAAAUAUAUGAUAUAACCAAUUUAACUAUCGGCCUGGUUAGAUCGAGAACUACCAGAUACUGAUUUAGAAUGAAAGGUUGGAUUAAUUGACUUACGAAUUAAUUCAAACAGAAUUAAAAAAUCAAUUAAAUUUGUUUUCUAUACUUUCAAUAUAUAUUAAUUUUUAUGAUUUUUGACAAUUUAUUCAAUUAAAUCAGAUAAACUGAUUGAACCGAUUAAAUCGAUAGCGUAAUUGGACCAAGAAUUGGAUUUUUGAAAACAUUGGUUUGUCUUAAAAAUACGUUCGAAAAUUAAACGUAGGAUUUAUUAAAUCAGCUAAGCAGUGUUGGG
This 2616-nucleotide long non-coding RNA is filed under the name Gossypium barbadense (sea-island cotton). RNAcentral describes it as "long non-coding RNA (GBAR_LNC002723)". Lineage: Eukaryota; Viridiplantae; Streptophyta; Magnoliopsida; Malvales; Malvaceae. The record is from RNAcentral.